GAAUCUCGGCAGGAUUCGAACCUGCGCCUCCGGCAAAGUAGUCGGCGUACUACACGCUACACCACGAGGUU
This is a non-coding RNA of Podospora bellae-mahoneyi, 71 nucleotides long. NCBI's taxonomy places the organism in Eukaryota, Fungi, Ascomycota, Sordariomycetes, Sordariales, Podosporaceae. The record is from the annotation of a RefSeq genome assembly.